This is an RNA transcript of Columba livia (rock pigeon), 6720 nucleotides long. It is a transcript of the gene named transmembrane protein 247, with no coding region annotated. The record is from RefSeq and is a predicted model, not a curated record. The transcript has 5 exons. Lineage: Eukaryota; Metazoa; Chordata; Aves; Columbiformes; Columbidae.
GCGAGCGGCUGCUGCCCCGCGAAAGCAGCGGGGGCUCGGGAAUUCUCCGGUGCUGACCCCCUUGUCCGCCCCGGCGCCAUCGCCCUGUACGUGCAAAGGAAACUUUGGUCGCGUCCUGUGGCGUUAGCCCGUAACUGAGUCGGAAUCAAAAUGUUGCCUUGUAGGACAUCUGUAAGACCUCUCUACACAUAUGAGGCUGUGCACUCACUGGGAGGAAGAAACACAGCUACAGAAGAUAAACAUGUAUUGGGAGGGAUUUCUGGGUUGUACAGACUUCUGCAAGUGAGAACAUGGAGUGGGACUGUGAAAUAGAAUAAUGAAGUCCUUCAGUGAAGUUGCCAGCAGCAGGAAAAAAUAGAAGAGAAAGUCACAGAGUCAGGCUUUAUUACGCAGCAAAGAACCUGUUUGGUCUGUGGAACCAGGGAAUAAGUGUUGUUAAUCAUCUAAACUCAACACUUUCUGAAAAGACAAGACUGUCCAUCUCUAUUAACAUCUCCGACCUCAAAAUUUACACAAUAUGGUUAUUUUAAUCGGUUGUGCUGGCACUCUGUGCUGUGAAUACGCUCCAGCAUUUCUCUGUCCAAAUCCUCUUGUUGCCCCUGCCAGAUGAGCUGUGGUGCCCCACUUGGUCACUGGAUGGAUGUGCGUCUGCUAGAGACUGGCCAUGUAUCUCACUGCAGAGGUUGGCAUCUUCCCAUGUUGGGUGAAAUGACUUUGUGGGAGUAGCCAGUAUUUGAGGAAAUACCCCUAAAAAUGCCAAGUCCCAGCCAAAGCUCAAAGUGAUGUGUGAAAAACACUCGCAUUAGUGCCACAAAAGUCCAUCAGAGGAUGCGUUUUUGAAAGCAUCCCUGACUGUUGAAGAUUGGAGCCAUGGUUUAUGAUUCUCUAAAAAAACUUCUAGACUUAAAAGGAAUGUUAAGCCUUCAGGAAAGUCAGUGAAAAGGGCAAUGUCAUCUGAAUGCCCUGUUUGCAGCAUAUCAUCUUUCAGAGCAAUCAGUCACUCAUUUUGGAGCAGAGCUGUCCCUAAGCAGCGGAAGGUAACACACAAAGGGACAUAACGCAAGCCUGGCUUUCAGUUGGAGUGAUUUACUGUUGUCAUAAAUGUGUUUUCAGUCGCGAAGUGCCCAGAUUUCAACAUCAUCAUCCAAGUAUAACCACCCAACAAGUGCUGUCCACUUCCGAGCUGCAGAUCUCUUAGAUACACGUCCCAAGAACACAUCCAAUUUUGCAGCAAUGCUGCAUUGCCAUGCUGUUUUUAAUAAUUGCUGAACAAUAGUUUCGUGUCCUUAGUUAAGGUGAGUGUUUGAUUUGAUUAGGAGCCCGUCAAAUACAGAAUGGAAAACAGCUGCUCUUCUGAGGAGUUCCUGGUGCAAUCCCUGAAGAAAUUCAGCCAGUGCACAACACAAAAGGAGAGCGAGCGAAUGAAUGAACGAAUGAACUCUGGGUUAAAAUUGACAGGGUCAAGCUGAUACAAACUGUGGAUACAUGCUUAUCUUUCCAGGUUUUCUGUCUUAAGAAAUAGCUGUUAAUUGUGUUGGUUUUCUCCAUAUGUGUGUCUUAGGAUCUUAUUUCACUUUUUUCUGUUUGUAUCUCAGCUUCUCUAGGGUUAUUUAAGCCACACUGACCCAUGUAAUAGCGACCAAGUUAGCAUUUGCUGCCAAAUUCAUUCAGCUUGAUACUUAUCAGCCUCUCUUACAAAAUCAAGAAAGAAAUACACCACCACCUUACUACAGUCAGAAAAGAAGAUUCCUUAGGGAGAAAGGAAGGAAAAAAGAGAGGGAAAGCUAAAGCAGGAUGUCCUGGUUUUGUUAAAAACAAGAUCAGUUUCUCUUUUAGUGAAUUUUUCUUUCAGCUACAUUCUUCUAAGUAACUGCACUUUUCUGAAUUUGGCUGCUUGUUUUUGCAGGUGGCAGCUGAUAACAUAGCAAUGGAAUGCAAAAUACUGGUAAAAAUGCAAUUCCCACACACGAGAAGGGUGUAUUUGUAAGAAGGGGUGAACAGAACAGGUGACCAAAAUUGACCAACUGAGUCAUUCACCCUAUAUAAGUGAGGGAUCACCUGAAGAGGACCCUGCCUGUUGUCCCUGUGAUCUAAGGCCUGGUUCCAGUGACUCCUGAAUCCAGGUCUGGUUUGCUGUGGAGUUCAGCCCAGGACUUCUGGGUGCCUGCCCUGCAGCUGCUGGAGCGGUGUGAAGUGGGGAAAUUCAAGCACCUGGGUUGUUCUCAGACUGAAAUCUCCUUGAAGAACGCAACAUCUUACUGUAGGCCAUACUAUGAUAGAGCCUCCAACUGCAGCAAGGUUUCUCAUGGUCAGUAUGAUACUAAGACCCACACAAAGGAAACACCAACUUCUUUCAUCUUUUCCGGCUAGAGGACAACACAAGGAAUGAAAACAUUGGAUAGAAUGUCUGAAAACAUUACACAGAAUUUUCUACUGGCUUUUUUGAUAACCUGAAUCAAGAUGACCAGUAAAGGAACUGGGAUUUGCUUGGAGCCAACAGACAAAUCUAGAACAACUCAUCAAGCUUGAAAUUAAAAGAUUUACAACCAUCACUCCCAGCAUUUUGACAGUCAUUCUAGCAAAUGAAUGACUGUAGUACUUAUUUCUGGGAGACAAAGGGGGCACAGUCUGGAACAUGUCAGAAGAGGUCCAGUUUCAUUUUAAAAAUUUCUGAAUUCAAAACCAAGCUCAUUUUGACUUGGAAAGAAACAGCUCUCUCAAAAUAUUGUGCCUGGUUCCAAUCACACUUAAUCACUGGUUGCCACAGAAAUCUUCCUCAGGGGGAGUGUUGGAGCUUUCUUUGCUUGAAAUGCUGUUGUCCCUCUCUUGCACUGCUCAACAGCACACAGACCAUUUAAAAUUUAUUUCUAAAACAAGAUUUGCUUUGUUUGGAUUCCUCCACUGACUAAAUUCAGACAUCACAGAAGCUGAUGCAACUGGGCUGACUCAUGACACCACUGAAUUUUUUCAAAGUCUAUUAUUAUAAAGUAAGAUCUACAUCAGUUUUAUCUCCCUGAGCUCUUAUUGCCCAGCAUCAACUGUCCAUUUCUGAUGAUGGUUUAAUGGUUGGAAGGAGCAGUGAAUUUGGUAGCAGUGCACUUAUGUAUAUUCAUGAUUACGUGAACUGCUGAGGUGUUUUCUCAUUCCUAAAUUGGCAUGAUGACACCAGUUUACAAAUGAAAAAUGUUUCUUCAUGUUAUUAUUUUUUUUCCCUGAGAGUUAGGAGCUGAGCUCUGUUGAAAACUGGUGCAGUAUUUGUGGCUUCUAACAGUUAUACAUACAUUUUUAAAAGCUAGUUUCUCCCUUUAAAUGUGCUAAAGAAACCUGCUCCUACUUAGAUCACUGUUUUCUGACUCCCAUUAAAAACAGAACCCAUGACAGCAAUAAGGAAAAUAGCAAAACGGUGGUGAAUCCCACUGCCGGUAUAAAAGAGCCAGUCAGCAGGAAAGUGUUCAAAACCAAACCACCACCCCCCACACACCAAAAAAAACCCCACCCAGCCUGCCAUCCCCUUGUGCAUCUGGUCCUUACUAGAAGCCUCAGGACUCCAGUAGCUUCAGACUGUUUUUUUCUCAUCUUGAAUCAUGGACAAACACAUUGCAAAGAUUCUCUCUCAAUCCAAAUGUUGAGGAUCACAGGAAAGAGCAAAUUUCAGGUCCUUAAAGUUUCUUUCUUUCUUACCAACUGAAUUAAUUAAUGCAGAGUUAGGAUUUCCCAGCAGUAGCUGGAGCCCUUAUAAAAUAUCAGCUUCAGCAAAAUUCAGACUUUAGGAAGCCAGGAAAUACAGAGUUUAGGUCAAUGUUCAGACAACCUUUAUUUUUCCCUCCUGGGAGCCAGUGAUAGGAACAGGGAGCUGGCAGUAUUUGCUGAGCUGAGUAUUGCUGUGUCAAAUGGUACCAGACUUAGUAAACUAUGACAGUAGGCAAGAUGGGAGACCUUACCUCUCAGAUGGGGCCCCAGCCUCACAAAUAUUGUUAUUUGGUGUAGUUGAAAAGAGAAAAUGUAAUUAUUGUUGAAUUGUUUCUAGAAAAUUGUGUCAGAGCAUGCAUGGCAAGGAAAUGUGACUGCAAAUACACCCCGUAUUUCCAAAGAGAAGGUGUGCCUGUGCUGUAGUACUUACAUACUGAAAGACACUCACUGAAAAGGUGAAUUAUUUUGAUUACAGAUAUAUUGAGCAUUGCUAUAAAGGUUGGAAUUAAUAUUGUUGUAUUAUCCUCUGUAUUUCCUGGUUUCUCAGAGGUUUGAAUUAUGCUGAGCUUAACUUUAUGGAAGCAAGCGAGCAAUCUUAACCAUAUGUUAGCAAAUCUUUUCAGUAAAGUAAUGUUUUUAAUAGGGACAUGUUUUUUGUAGGUCUCAGACAUUCUUUAGGUGCUUAUGGUUACUAUUGCAACAACAGCACUACUGAAAUAAUGUAAAGGGAGGCCUGUGACUCUGAAACCCUGUUUUAUCCAGUGCUACAUGGAACAGGGUAGUCACCACUCACUGAAAUAUUUGAAGGAUGAAGGUAUCGGCAGUGUGAUGAGAGAAUCCUCAGAAAUUAUGGUUCCAUGAUGAUUACAAUACACACCUAAGAAGAAAAGGAUGGAUCUCUUCCUUCCCCCCUCCCCUUGAUUUCUUAUCAGGAUAUACAUAACCCCACCUGAGAAAAUUUUCAGCACACUCUUCUUGUCCAGCUAUAUCAAGCCAUUAGCAUUUGAGAAGUGAAUAGCACUUGCAGAGUUUCUCUUUGCUCUCUGAUACUCUGGUGCUAACAGCAAGCUUGACAGCAAGCCGCUUACAUCCCAUGAUCCCCUGCAUAUGCUAGAUUCCCCAAGUCUGGAUUUCCAUCCUCAGGUCUGUUUUUGAAGCCCCUCCAGCAUUAUCGAUAUACCAAAUUACAUUGCAAGGUCUUGAAGAGGGCAGACUAAGCCUAAACCUAACCCUAACACAACCCUAACCCUAAUCUAAACCUAACCCUACCCCUAAACCAGCCCUUACCCUAUCCCUAAACAAAACCUAACCCCAGCAACUAACUCUAAUCCUAAACCCUAACCUAACUCUAAUCCUAACCCAACGCUAACCCUAACGCUACCCCUAACCCUAACCUACCCUAAUCCUAAACCCUAACCCUAACCUAACCCUAAACCUAACCCCAAGCAAACCAAACCCUAACCCUGAACCCUAGCCUAAGCCUAACCCUAACCUUAAACCCUAAACCCUAACCUAACCCUAACCUUAUCCCUAACCAUAACCCUAACCUAAGCUUAACUCUAACCCAAACCCCUAACCCUAACCCUUGCCCCUAACACUAACCUUUACCCAACCCUUACCCUAAACCUAACCGCAAUCCCAACCCUAAUCCUUACCCUAAACCUAACCAGAACCCUAACCCCAACCCUUGGGUAACCAGCAUGUGCAGUGCCUCUCAUCCAUGGUACCUGAGACCAGGUGUCCAGGCGUUCAUGCUCUGCAGAGCUGCAGCAGACCACCACCAUAUGUUGGGUUUUUUUUGUUUGGUCCUUUUUUUCCUCUUUCCUAAACUUCUAGGGCAGAAACCCGCCUUAUUUCUUGGCUGUUUUCUGUGUCAGGUACAUGACUGAGAGGGGCUGCUGGCGCGGCGCUGGGCACCAGGUUGGGUGGGAGGCUGUGUUUGGCCUUGAGUUUUCCCCAGGGACCUGCACAGCAGCUUCAGUCACUAACUGUGUGUCCCUGAGCACCGAGGGAGCUGCCCCUGUGAUGUGGCCCAGGCAGCCCUCGCCAUGGCUGGUGCCAGGAGAGAGGCAGGAGGGACAUGGCACCCAUAGCCCCUGUAGAGGGGGCUGUCUGGUGAGGCCAUUGCCCUUCUUGACAUGGAGAGGAAUAAAAGCACUUCAGAGUGUUGCAGGGCCACCAGCGAUCAGCCAAGAGCUUCAGCAGCCCCCUGUGAUGGUUCCCCAUACUGGGUGUGUGCCCAGGUGGAGAGCUGCACUGGUGCAGAGACUACCACGCCAGUGUGGGGAUUUCUGGGUGUCUUGAGGAGCCCCAGCUCCUUCUCAGUGUAUCAGAGGGCACCUUCCCAGUGGAAACCACAUCAGCAACAAAGGACUGCUUCUCACACUACAACACACCAGUUGCUGAACUGGUAAAAUACCAUGAUGAUAAACAGGCAUCAUUCCUGUUCUGGGUGAGCCUACAGCUAACUCCUUCCAAGUGCACAUGGCUGAAAAUACAGCUCCCAGCGUUUUACCAAGAUUUAAUUCCACAGGUACCUUUUUGCACCUAGAACUGGGCCUGUGGCAAUGUCUUUUCUAAUAAAACACCAAAUUACGUGUGAGCGUUUAAGAAAAAUUAUCUUUUAACCGGCACCAUCAUUCCUCAGAUGGUGGUGGUGGUUGGUGGUGGUGACCCUGAGGCUGGUGGAGAAAGCUGAUUCACCCCCAGUUUUGAACGGGCCUCCCCCUCUGCUGGGCUGAACUGACAGACAGCGGGCACAAAGCCGCUCAGGUGGCACUGGAGAGAAAGCUGCUGUACCUUCUGACCCCUUACAUGGCUUUGGAGCUGUGUUUGAGCUGAAUGAGACUGGCCCAGAGCAGUGCGGAUAGCAAAGUGGAAUCAGUCAUGGUUUGAGGUACUGACAUAUUUGUCACAGCAUCAUCCCUUGGGGAGUCUCACUUUAUCCGUCUUCUUGCUAAAGCUUUCUGAAAAGUGUUAUUUAGGCCUCUUUGUUGUCCUAUAUUGUUGAAUGAAAAGUUUUUGGAGACA